RNAcentral lists this ribosomal RNA (512 nucleotides) under uncultured bacterium. RNAcentral's name for it is "partial 16S ribosomal RNA". It matches the Rfam family "Bacterial small subunit ribosomal RNA", at positions 28 to 507 of the family's 1533-position model. The record is from RNAcentral.
GAUGAACGCUGGCGGCGUGCCUAAUACAUGCAAGUCGAACGGAACUUGUUUAUUAGCGAGUGCUUGCACUCACGGAUAAAGGAUUGAGUGCUGAACGUCUGAGUGACACGUGGGCAAACCGCCCAAAAAAGGGGGCUAACACUUCAUAACAGGUGCUAAUACCGGAGAAGCAUAGUUAGCCCAUACGAACUAUGAUAAAGGUAGCUCUACUACGGCUUUUGGAUGGGUCCGCGGCGCAUUAGCUAGUUGGUAGGGUAAAGGCUUACCAAGGCAAUGAUGCGUAGCCGAAUUGAGAGGUUGAUCAGUCACAUUGGAACUGAGACACGGCCCAAACUCCUACGGGAGGCAGCAGUAGGGAAUAUUCCACAAUGGGCGAAAGCCUGAUGGAGCAACGCCGCGUGGGUGAAGAAGGUCUUCGGAUCGUAAAACCCUGUUGGUAGAGAAGAAAGGGAGUGAGAGUAAAUAUUCAUGUUUCGACGGUAUCUAACCAGAAAGCAACGGCUAACUACGUG